GGUUAAGCGACUAAGCGUACACGGUGGAUGCCCUGGCAGUCAGAGGCGAUGAAGGACGUGCUAAUCUGCGAUAAGCGUCGGUAAGGUGAUAUGAACCGUUAUAACCGGCGAUUUCCGAAUGGGGAAACCCAGUGUGAUUCGUCACACUAUCAUUAACUGAAUCCAUAGGUUAAUGAGGCGAACCGGGGGAACUGAAACAUCUAAGUACCCCGAGGAAAAGAAAUCAACCGAGAUUCCCCCAGUAGCGGCGAGCGAACGGGGAGGAGCCCAGAGCCUGAAUCAGUGUGUGUGUUAGUGGAAGCGUCUGGAAAGGCGCGCGAUACAGGGUGACAGCCCCGUACACAAAAAUGCACAUGCUGUGAGCUCGAUGAGUAGGGCGGGACACGUGGUAUCCUGUCUGAAUAUGGGGGGACCAUCCUCCAAGGCUAAAUACUCCUGACUGACCGAUAGUGAACCAGUACCGUGAGGGAAAGGCGAAAAGAACCCCGGCGAGGGGAGUGAAAAAGAACCUGAAACCGUGUACGUACAAGCAGUGGGAGCACAGAGCAAUCUGUGUGACUGCGUACCUUUUGUAUAAUGGGUCAGCGACUUAUAUUCUGUAGCAAGGUUAACCGAAUAGGGGAGCCGAAGGGAAACCGAGUCUUAACUGGGCGUUAAGUUGCAGGGUAUAGACCCGAAACCCGGUGAUCUAGCCAUGGGCAGGUUGAAGGUUGGGUAACACUAACUGGAGGACCGAACCGACUAAUGUUGAAAAAUUAGCGGAUGACUUGUGGCUGGGGGUGAAAGGCCAAUCAAACCGGGAGAUAGCUGGUUCUCCCCGAAAGCUAUUUAGGUAGCGCCUCGUGAAUUCAUCUCCGGGGGUAGAGCACUGUUUCGGCAAGGGGGUCAUCCCGACUUACCAACCCGAUGCAAACUACGAAUACCGGAGAAUGUUAUCACGGGAGACACACGGCGGGUGCUAACGUCCGUCGUGAAGAGGGAAACAACCCAGACCGCCAGCUAAGGUCCCAAAGUCAUGGUUAAGUGGGAAACGAUGUGGGAAGGCCCAGACAGCCAGGAUGUUGGCUUAGAAGCAGCCAUCAUUUAAAGAAAGCGUAAUAGCUCACUGGUCGAGUCGGCCUGCGCGGAAGAUGUAACGGGGCUAAACCAUGCACCGAAGCUGCGGCAGCGACGCUUAUGCGUUGUUGGGUAGGGGAGCGUUCUGUAAGCCUGUGAAGGUGUGCUGUGAGGCAUGCUGGAGGUAUCAGAAGUGCGAAUGCUGACAUAAGUAACGAUAAAGCGGGUGAAAAGCCCGCUCGCCGGAAGACCAAGGGUUCCUGUCCAACGUUAAUCGGGGCAGGGUGAGUCGACCCCUAAGGCGAGGCCGAAAGGCGUAGUCGAUGGGAAACAGGUUAAUAUUCCUGUACUUGGUGUUACUGCGAAGGGGGGACGGAGAAGGCUAUGUUGGCCGGGCGACGGUUGUCCCGGUUUAAGCGUGUAGGCUGGUUUUCCAGGCAAAUCCGGAAAAUCAAGGCUGAGGCGUGAUGACGAGGCACUACGGUGCUGAAGCAACAAAUGCCCUGCUUCCAGGAAAAGCCUCUAAGCAUCAGGUAACAUCAAAUCGUACCCCAAACCGACACAGGUGGUCAGGUAGAGAAUACCAAGGCGCUUGAGAGAACUCGGGUGAAGGAACUAGGCAAAAUGGUGCCGUAACUUCGGGAGAAGGCACGCUGAUAUGUAGGUGAAGUCCCUCGCGGAUGGAGCUGAAAUCAGUCGAAGAUACCAGCUGGCUGCAACUGUUUAUUAAAAACACAGCACUGUGCAAACACGAAAGUGGACGUAUACGGUGUGACGCCUGCCCGGUGCCGGAAGGUUAAUUGAUGGGGUUAGCGCAAGCGAAGCUCUUGAUCGAAGCCCCGGUAAACGGCGGCCGUAACUAUAACGGUCCUAAGGUAGCGAAAUUCCUUGUCGGGUAAGUUCCGACCUGCACGAAUGGCGUAAUGAUGGCCAGGCUGUCUCCACCCGAGACUCAGUGAAAUUGAACUCGCUGUGAAGAUGCAGUGUACCCGCGGCAAGACGGAAAGACCCCGUGAACCUUUACUAUAGCUUGACACUGAACAUUGAGCCUUGAUGUGUAGGAUAGGUGGGAGGCUUUGAAGUGUGGACGCCAGUCUGCAUGGAGCCGACCUUGAAAUACCACCCUUUAAUGUUUGAUGUUCUAACGUUGACCCGUGAUCCGGGUUGCGGACAGUGUCUGGUGGGUAGUUUGACUGGGGCGGUCUCCUCCUAAAGAGUAACGGAGGAGCACGAAGGUUGGCUAAUCCUGGUCGGACAUCAGGAGGUUAGUGCAAUGGCAUAAGCCAGCUUGACUGCGAGCGUGACGGCGCGAGCAGGUGCGAAAGCAGGUCAUAGUGAUCCGGUGGUUCUGAAUGGAAGGGCCAUCGCUCAACGGAUAAAAGGUACUCCGGGGAUAACAGGCUGAUACCGCCCAAGAGUUCAUAUCGACGGCGGUGUUUGGCACCUCGAUGUCGGCUCAUCACAUCCUGGGGCUGAAGUAGGUCCCAAGGGUAUGGCUGUUCGCCAUUUAAAGUGGUACGCGAGCUGGGUUUAGAACGUCGUGAGACAGUUCGGUCCCUAUCUGCCGUGGGCGCUGGAGAAUUGAGGGGGGCUGCUCCUAGUACGAGAGGACCGGAGUGGACGCAUCACUGGUGUUCGGGUUGUCAUGCCAAUGGCACUGCCCGGUAGCUAAAUGCGGAAGAGAUAAGUGCUGAAAGCAUCUAAGCACGAAACUUGCCCCGAGAUGAGUUCUCCCUGACUCCUUGAGAGUCCUGAAGGAACGUUGAAGACGACGACGUUGAUAGGCCGGGUGUGUAAGCGCAGCGAUGCGUUGAGCUAACCGGUACUAAUGAACCGUGAGGCUUAACCUU
This 2906-nucleotide ribosomal RNA is filed under the name Escherichia coli. RNAcentral describes it as "23S ribosomal RNA". It matches the Rfam family "Bacterial large subunit ribosomal RNA". Lineage: Bacteria; Pseudomonadati; Pseudomonadota; Gammaproteobacteria; Enterobacterales; Enterobacteriaceae. The record is from RNAcentral.